RNAcentral lists this ribosomal RNA (449 nucleotides) under uncultured prokaryote. RNAcentral's name for it is "bacterial SSU rRNA". It matches the Rfam family "Bacterial small subunit ribosomal RNA", at positions 355 to 796 of the family's 1533-position model. The record is from RNAcentral.
UAGGGAAUCUUCCGCAAUGGGCGAAAGCCUGACGGAGCAACGCCGCGUGAGUGAAGAAGGAUUUCGGUUCGUAAAGCUCUGUUGUUAGGGAAGAAUGGAUAUGUAGUAACUAUACAUGUACGAGACGGUACCUAACCAGAAAGCCACGGCUAACUACGUGCCAGCAGCCGCGGUAAUACGUAGGUGGCAAGCGUUGUCCGGAAUUAUUGGGCGUAAAGCGCGCGCAGGUGGUUUAAUAAGUCUGAUGUGAAAGCCCACGGCUCAACCGUGGAGGGUCAUUGGAAACUGUUAAACUUGAGUGCAGGAGAGAAAAGUGGAAUUCCUAGUGUAGCGGUGAAAUGCGUAGAGAUUAGGAGGAACACCAGUGGCGAAGGCGGCUUUUUGGCCUGUAACUGACACUGAGGCGCGAAAGCGUGGGGAGCAAACAGGAUUAGAUACCCCCGUAGUCC